Molecule: ribosomal RNA, 2931 nt
Filed under: Escherichia coli
Lineage: Bacteria; Pseudomonadati; Pseudomonadota; Gammaproteobacteria; Enterobacterales; Enterobacteriaceae
Description: 23S ribosomal RNA
Rfam family: Bacterial large subunit ribosomal RNA
Source: RNAcentral
GGGUUGUGAGGUUAAGCGACUAAGCGUACACGGUGGAUGCCCUGGCAGUCAGAGGCGAUGAAGGACGUGCUAAUCUGCGAUAAGCGUCGGUAAGGUGAUAUGAACCGUUAUAACCGGCGAUUUCCGAAUGGGGAAACCCAGUGUGWUUCGWCACACUAUCAUUAACUGAAUCCAUAGGUUAAUGAGGCGAACCGGGGGAACUGAAACAUCUAAGUACCCCGAGGAAAAGAAAUCAACCGAGAUUCCCCCAGUAGCGGCGAGCGAACGGGGAGCAGCCCAGAGCCUGAAUCAGUGUGUGUGUUAGUGGAAGCGUCUGGAAAGGCGCGCGAUACAGGGUGACAGCCCCGUACACAAAAAUGCACAURCUGUGAGCUCGAUGAGUAGGGCGGGACACGUGGUAUCCUGUCUGAAUAUGGGGGGACCAUCCUCCAAGGCUAAAUACUCCUGACUGACCGAUAGUGAACCAGUACCGUGAGGGAAAGGCGAAAAGAACCCCGGCGAGGGGAGUGAAAAAGAACCUGAAACCGUGUACGUACAAGCAGUGGGAGCACGCUUAGGCGUGUGACUGCGUACCUUUUGUAUAAUGGGUCAGCGACUUAUAUUCUGUAGCAAGGUUAACCGAAUAGGGGAGCCGAAGGGAAACCGAGUCUUAACUGGGCGUUAAGUUGCAGGGUAUAGACCCGAAACCCGGUGAUCUAGCCAUGGGCAGGUUGAAGGUUGGGUAACACUAACUGGAGGACCGAACCGACUAAUGUUGAAAAAUUAGCGGAUGACUUGUGGCUGGGGGUGAAAGGCCAAUCAAACCGGGAGAUAGCUGGUUCUCCCCGAAAGCUAUUUAGGUAGCGCCUCGUGAAUUCAUCUCCGGGGGUAGAGCACUGUUUCGGCAAGGGGGUCAUCCCGACUUACCAACCCGAUGCAAACUGCGAAUACCGGAGAAUGUUAUCACGGGAGACACACGGCGGGUGCUAACGUCCGUCGUGAAGAGGGAAACAACCCAGACCGCCAGCUAAGGUCCCAAAGUCAUGGUUAAGUGGGAAACGAUGUGGGAAGGCCCAGACAGCCAGGAUGUUGGCUUAGAAGCAGCCAUCAUUUAAAGAAAGCGUAAUAGCUCACUGGUCGAGUCGGCCUGCGCGGAAGAUGUAACGGGGCUAAACCAUGCACCGAAGCUGCGGCAGCGACGCUKAUGCGUUGUUGGGUAGGGGAGCGUUCUGUAAGCCUGYGAAGGUGURCUGUGAGGYAUGCUGGAGGUAUCAGAAGUGCGAAUGCUGACAUAAGUAACGAUAAAGCGGGUGAAAAGCCCGCUCGCCGGAAGACCAAGGGUUCCUGUCCAACGUUAAUCGGGGCAGGGUGAGUCGACCCCUAAGGCGAGGCCGAAAGGCGUAGUCGAUGGGAAACAGGUUAAUAUUCCUGUACUUGGUGUUACUGCGAAGGGGGGACGGAGAAGGCUAUGUUGGCCGGGCGACGGUUGUCCCGGUUUAAGCGUGUAGGCUGGUUUUCCAGGCAAAUCCGGAAAAYYAAGGCUGAGGCGUGAUGACGAGGCACUACGGUGCUGAAGCAACAAAUGCCCUGCUUCCAGGAAAAGCCUCUAAGCAUCAGGUAACAUCAAAUCGUACCCCAAACCGACACAGGUGGUCAGGUAGAGAAUACCAAGGCGCUUGAGAGAACUCGGGUGAAGGAACUAGGCAAAAUGGUGCCGUAACUUCGGGAGAAGGCACGCUGAUAUGUAGGUGAAGUCCCUCGCGGAUGGAGCUGAAAUCAGUCGAAGAUACCAGCUGGCUGCAACUGUUUAUUAAAAACACAGCACUGUGCAAACACGAAAGUGGACGUAUACGGUGUGACGCCUGCCCGGUGCCGGAAGGUUAAUUGAUGGGGUYAGCGCAAGCGAAGCUCUUGAUCGAAGCCCCGGUAAACGGCGGCCGUAACUAUAACGGUCCUAAGGUAGCGAAAUUCCUUGUCGGGUAAGUUCCGACCUGCACGAAUGGCGUAAUGAUGGCCAGGCUGUCUCCACCCGAGACUCAGUGAAAUUGAACUCGCUGUGAAGAUGCAGUGUACCCGCGGCAAGACGGAAAGACCCCGUGAACCUUUACUAUAGCUUGACACUGAACAUUGAGCCUUGAUGUGUAGGAUAGGUGGGAGGCUUUGAAGUGUGGACGCCAGUCUGCAUGGAGCCGACCUUGAAAUACCACCCUUUAAUGUUUGAUGUUCUAACGUUGACCCGURAUCCGGGUUGCGGACAGUGUCUGGUGGGUAGUUUGACUGGGGCGGUCUCCUCCUAAAGAGUAACGGAGGAGCACGAAGGUUGGCUAAUCCUGGUCGGACAUCAGGAGGUUAGUGCAAUGGCAUAAGCCAGCUUGACUGCGAGCGUGACGGCGCGAGCAGGUGCGAAAGCAGGUCAUAGUGAUCCGGUGGUUCUGAAUGGAAGGGCCAUCGCUCAACGGAUAAAAGGUACUCCGGGGAUAACAGGCUGAUACCGCCCAAGAGUUCAUAUCGACGGCGGUGUUUGGCACCUCGAUGUCGGCUCAUCACAUCCUGGGGCUGAAGUAGGUCCCAAGGGUAUGGCUGUUCGCCAUUUAAAGUGGUACGCGAGCUGGGUUUAGAACGUCGUGAGACAGUUCGGUCCCUAUCUGCCGUGGGCGCUGGAGAACUGAGGGGGGCUGCUCCUAGUACGAGAGGACCGGAGUGGACGCAUCACUGGUGUUCGGGUUGUCAUGCCAAUGGCACUGCCCGGUAGCUAAAUGCGGAAGAGAUAAGUGCUGAAAGCAUCUAAGCACGAAACUUGCCCCGAGAUGAGUUCUCCCUGACYCYUURAGRGUCCUGAAGGAACGUUGAAGACGACGACGUUGAUAGGCCGGGUGUGUAAGCGCAGCGAUGCGUUGAGCUAACCGGUACUAAUGAACCGUGAGGCUUAACCUUACAACGCCGAAGGUGUUU